RNAcentral lists this unclassified non-coding RNA (433 nucleotides) under soil metagenome. RNAcentral describes it as "partial contains 5.8S ribosomal RNA, internal transcribed spacer 2, and large subunit ribosomal RNA". The stretch from base 1 to 120 matches the Rfam family "5.8S ribosomal RNA", at positions 35 to 154 of the family's 154-position model. The record is from RNAcentral.
GAUGAAGAACGUAGCGAAAUGCGAUACGUAAUGUGAAUUGCAGAAUUCAGUGAAUCAUCGAAUCUUUGAACGCAUAUUGCGCUCUCUGGUAUUCCGGAGAGCAUGCUUGUUUGAGUAUCAGUAAACACCUCAACUUCCAUAUCUUUUUUGAAAUGGGAGUUGGACUUGAGUGAUCCCAACGCUUUUCCUCACCGAAAAGCGGCGGGUUACUUGAAAUGCAGGUGCAGCUGGACUUUUCUCUGAGCUAUAAGCAUAUCUAUUUAGUCUGCCUAAAAAACAGAUUAUUACCUUUGCUGCAGCUAACAUAAAGGAGAUUAGUUCUUGUGCUGACUGAUGCAGGAUUCACAAAGACAGGCUUCGGCCGACUUUGUAAACUCGAUCUCAAAUCAAGUAAGACUACCCGCUGAACUUAAGCAUGUCAAUAAGCGGAGGA